Molecule: ribosomal RNA, 1200 nt
Filed under: Vibrio parahaemolyticus
Lineage: Bacteria; Pseudomonadati; Pseudomonadota; Gammaproteobacteria; Vibrionales; Vibrionaceae
Description: bacterial SSU rRNA
Rfam family: Bacterial small subunit ribosomal RNA
Source: RNAcentral
GAGCAUGCGCAGCUACCAUGCAGUCGAGCGGAACGAGUUAUCUGAACCUUCGGGGAACGAUAACGGCGUCGAGCGGCGGACGGGUGAGUAAUGCCUAGGAAAUUGCCCUGAUGUGGGGGAUAACCAUUGGAAACGAUGGCUAAUACCGCAUGAUGCCUACGGGCCAAAGAGGGGGACCUUCGGGCCUCUCGCGUCAGGAUAUGCCUAGGUGGGAUUAGCUAGUUGGUGAGGUAAGGGCUCACCAAGGCGACGAUCCCUAGCUGGUCUGAGAGGAUGAUCAGCCACACUGGAACUGAGACACGGUCCAGACUCCUACGGGAGGCAGCAGUGGGGAAUAUUGCACAAUGGGCGCAAGCCUGAUGCAGCCAUGCCGCGUGUGUGAAGAAGGCCUUCGGGUUGUAAAGCACUUUCAGUCGUGAGGAAGGUGGUGGUGUUAAUAGCAGUAUCAUUUGACGUUAGCGACAGAAGAAGCACCGGCUAACUCCGUGCCAGCAGCCGCGGUAAUACGGAGGGUGCGAGCGUUAAUCGGAAUUACUGGGCGUAAAGCGCAUGCAGGUGGUUUGUUAAGUCAGAUGUGAAAGCCCGGGGCUCAACCUCGGAAUUGCAUUUGAAACUGGCAGACUAGAGUACUGUAGAGGGGGGUAGAAUUUCAGGUGUAGCGGUGAAAUGCGUAGAGAUCUGAAGGAAUACCGGUGGCGAAGGCGGCCCCCUGGACAGAUACUGACACUCAGAUGCGAAAGCGUGGGGAGCAAACAGGAUUAGAUACCCUGGUAGUCCACGCCGUAAACGAUGUCUACUUGGAGGUUGUGGCCUUGAGCCGUGGCUUUCGGAGCUAACGCGUUAAGUAGACCGCCUGGGGGAGUACGGUCGCAAGAUUAAAACUCAAAUGAAUUGACAGGGGCCCGCCACAAGCGGUGGAGCAUGUGGUUUAAUUCGAUGCAACGCGAGAACCUUACCUACUCUUGACAUCCAGAAGAACUUUCCAGAGAUGGAUUGGUGCCUUCAGGAACUCUGAGACAGGUGCUGCAUGCUGUCGUCAGCUCGUGUUGUGAAUGUUGGAUUAAGUCCCGCACGAGCGCAACCGUUAUCCUUGUUUGCAGGCGAGUAUGUUCGGUAACUCCAUGGAGAACCUGCCGGGUGAUUAAUCUGGAGAGGGUGGGGGGACCGAACCGCUCUCAAGUCCAUUCAUGUGGCCUUUUA